UACGUAGGGGGCAAGCGUUGUCCGGAAUCAUUGGGCGUAAAGCGCGUGUAGGCGGCCCGAUAAGUCCGCUGUGAAAGUCCAGGGCUCAACCCUGGAAUGCCGGUGGAUACUGUCGGGCUCGAGUCCGGAAGAGGCGAGUGGAAUUCCUGGUGUAGCGGUGAAAUGCGCAGAUAUCAGGAGGAACACCGGUGGCGAAGGCGGGUCGCUGGACAGUUCCUGACGCUGAGGCACGAAGGUCAGGGGAGCAAACGGG
RNAcentral lists this ribosomal RNA (253 nucleotides) under uncultured bacterium. RNAcentral's name for it is "partial 16S ribosomal RNA". It matches the Rfam family "Bacterial small subunit ribosomal RNA", at positions 524 to 776 of the family's 1533-position model. The record is from RNAcentral.